AACGUAGGUGGCGAGCGUUAUCCGGAUUUACUGGGCGUAAAGCGUGUGCAGGUGGACGGUUAAGUGGUGUAUGAAAUCUCCCAGCUCAACUGGGAUAGGUUAUGCCAGACUGGUCGUCUAGGGUAUGGGAGAGGGAUGUGGAAUUCCGGGUGUAGUGGUGAAAUGCGUAGAGAUCCGGAGGAACCCCAGAGGCGAAGGCGGCAUCCUGGCCCAUUACUGACGCUGAGGCGCGAAAGCUAGGGGAGCAAACGGG
This 253-nucleotide ribosomal RNA is filed under the name uncultured bacterium. RNAcentral's name for it is "partial 16S ribosomal RNA". It matches the Rfam family "Bacterial small subunit ribosomal RNA", at positions 524 to 776 of the family's 1533-position model. The record is from RNAcentral.